GGGUUGUGAGGUUAAGCGACUAAGCGUACACGGUGGAUGCCCUGGCAGUCAGAGGCGAUGAAGGACGUGCUAAUCUGCGAUAAGCGUCGGUAAGGUGAUAUGAACCGUUAUAACCGGCGAUUUCCGAAUGGGGAAACCCAGUGUGAUUCGUCACACUAUCAUUAACUGAAUCCAUAGGUUAAUGAGGCGAACCGGGGGAACUGAAACAUCUAAGUACCCCGAGGAAAAGAAAUCAACCGAGAUUCCCCCAGUAGCGGCGAGCGAACGGGGAGCAGCCCAGAGCCUGAAUCAGUGUGUGUGUUAGUGGAAGCGUCUGGAAAGGCGCGCGAUACAGGGUGACAGCCCCGUACACAAAAAUGCACAUGCUGUGAGCUCGAUGAGUAGGGCGGGACACGUGGUAUCCUGUCUGAAUAUGGGGGGACCAUCCUCCAAGGCUAAAUACUCCUGACUGACCGAUAGUGAACCAGUACCGUGAGGGAAAGGCGAAAAGAACCCCGGCGAGGGGAGUGAAAAAGAACCUGAAACCGUGUACGUACAAGCAGUGGGAGCACGCUUAGGCGUGUGACUGCGUACCUUUUGUAUAAUGGGUCAGCGACUUAUAUUCUGUAGCAAGGUUAACCGAAUAGGGGAGCCGAAGGGAAACCGAGUCUUAACUGGGCGUUAAGUUGCAGGGUAUAGACCCGAAACCCGGUGAUCUAGCCAUGGGCAGGUUGAAGGUUGGGUAACACUAACUGGAGGACCGAACCGACUAAUGUUGAAAAAUUAGCGGAUGACUUGUGGCUGGGGGUGAAAGGCCAAUCAAACCGGGAGAUAGCUGGUUCUCCCCGAAAGCUAUUUAGGUAGCGCCUCGUGAAUUCAUCUCCGGGGGUAGAGCACUGUUUCGGCAAGGGGGUCAUCCCGACUUACCAACCCGAUGCAAACUGCGAAUACCGGAGAAUGUUAUCACGGGAGACACACGGCGGGUGCUAACGUCCGUCGUGAAGAGGGAAACAACCCAGACCGCCAGCUAAGGUCCCAAAGUCAUGGUUAAGUGGGAAACGAUGUGGGAAGGCCCAGACAGCCAGGAUGUUGGCUUAGAAGCAGCCAUCAUUUAAAGAAAGCGUAAUAGCUCACUGGUCGAGUCGGCCUGCGCGGAAGAUGUAACGGGGCUAAACCAUGCACCGAAGCUGCGGCAGCGACGCUUAUGCGUUGUUGGGUAGGGGAGCGUUCUGUAAGCCUGCGAAGGUGUGCUGUGAGGCAUGCUGGAGGUAUCAGAAGUGCGAAUGCUGACAUAAGUAACGAUAAAGCGGGUGAAAAGCCCGCUCGCCGGAAGACCAAGGGUUCCUGUCCAACGUUAAUCGGGGCAGGGUGAGUCGACCCCUAAGGCGAGGCCGAAAGGCGUAGUCGAUGGGAAACAGGUUAAUAUUCCUGUACUUGGUGUUACUGCGAAGGGGGGACGGAGAAGGCUAUGUUGGCCGGGCGACGGUUGUCCCGGUUUAAGCGUGUAGGCUGGUUUUCCAGGCAAAUCCGGAAAAUCAAGGCUGAGGCGUGAUGACGAGGCACUACGGUGCUGAAGCAACAAAUGCCCUGCUUCCAGGAAAAGCCUCUAAGCAUCAGGUAACAUCAAAUCGUACCCCAAACCGACACAGGUGGUCAGGUAGAGAAUACCAAGGCGCUUGAGAGAACUCGGGUGAAGGAACUAGGCAAAAUGGUGCCGUAACUUCGGGAGAAGGCACGCUGAUAUGUAGGUGAAGUCCCUCGCGGAUGGAGCUGAAAUCAGUCGAAGAUACCAGCUGGCUGCAACUGUUUAUUAAAAACACAGCACUGUGCAAACACGAAAGUGGACGUAUACGGUGUGACGCCUGCCCGGUGCCGGAAGGUUAAUUGAUGGGGUUAGCGCAAGCGAAGCUCUUGAUCGAAGCCCCGGUAAACGGCGGCCGUAACUAUAACGGUCCUAAGGUAGCGAAAUUCCUUGUCGGGUAAGUUCCGACCUGCACGAAUGGCGUAAUGAUGGCCAGGCUGUCUCCACCCGAGACUCAGUGAAAUUGAACUCGCUGUGAAGAUGCAGUGUACCCGCGGCAAGACGGAAAGACCCCGUGAACCUUUACUAUAGCUUGACACUGAACAUUGAGCCUUGAUGUGUAGGAUAGGUGGGAGGCUUUGAAGUGUGGACGCCAGUCUGCAUGGAGCCGACCUUGAAAUACCACCCUUUAAUGUUUGAUGUUCUAACGUUG
RNAcentral lists this ribosomal RNA (2213 nucleotides) under Escherichia coli. RNAcentral's name for it is "bacterial LSU rRNA". It matches the Rfam family "Bacterial large subunit ribosomal RNA", at positions 1 to 2230 of the family's 2925-position model. Lineage: Bacteria; Pseudomonadati; Pseudomonadota; Gammaproteobacteria; Enterobacterales; Enterobacteriaceae. The record is from RNAcentral.